Long non-coding RNA from Spea bombifrons (plains spadefoot toad), 527 nucleotides. RefSeq lists it as uncharacterized. The transcript has 2 exons. NCBI's taxonomy places the organism in Eukaryota, Metazoa, Chordata, Amphibia, Anura, Pelobatidae. The record is from RefSeq and is a predicted model, not a curated record.
UGAUUCCCAGUAUGGCCAUGUAAAAAGUAGGUUUAUGUUAAAUUAAACAGCAAUGCAGAAUCAAAUUACACAGAUGUUACUGGCAGUUUCAGAUGAUGGCUAUCCAUGCCAAGAACAUAUCGUAUUGUGCAAAAGUGUUAGGCAAGUGUGAAAAAUGCUGUAAAGUAAAAUGCUUUAAAAUAGACAUAAUUUCUUAUCAUUUAACAAAAUGCAAAGUGAGUGAACAGAAGAAAAAAUCAUUGUUUUAGGUAGACUUGCUCAAAGUCAGGGAUUUUUUGACAUACACUUAAGUGUAUGAUUAAACCGUUAUACCAAAAAGAUCCUUAUUAUCAGGAAUUUAAUAUUUAGGUUGAAACAAUCACUAACUGAAACAGAAACAGCUGUGUAGGAGGAAUAAAACUUGGUAAGGGCCAGUCAAACUCACCAGCAAGGACUACAUGAAGAGAGAGAAGCAACCGAGGCUGCCUAAAUCUACAGGUACUUCAUUCAACCAUGCAAGUCAAUGGAGCUCAGCUUUCUAAUCGCAA